Long non-coding RNA from Esox lucius (northern pike), 686 nucleotides. NCBI's taxonomy places the organism in Eukaryota, Metazoa, Chordata, Actinopteri, Esociformes, Esocidae. The record is from Ensembl.
UGCUGCUAGAGUGGCUAGCAAGUGUUAGCUAGCACAUGCUGUUUGCCUAUGUUACAGUAAACACCGAGGUUGCUAGUACAUGUAGAAAUUUCAUUGGUACAGAAGUUUCAUUGGUUCCAGAAAACCAGGAAAAUGUGGAGCCAUCUGUAGACUUCAGAGCUGGUAUGUAAAAUGUAUUGCUGUGAUGCUUUAUUUGUGAUCCUGCCACUAAACUAUACCCUUUGUUAGAUUUUCAAAUUUCUGUUUCCUCUUUCUCAGAACCAGGUUUCUCCCCAGGACACACUCCACUUCACAGAGCCAAGCGUUUGAGUACGAGUGCAGAUCAGACCCUAGUGCUGCGACGUCUUGGAGAGUUUGGCGAUGUUGUGCGUAGCAUGGAAAACUAUGCUGCAACAUUUCAGUGCCAAUGUGUCUGUUGGAGAGCUAUCCCUGCCAGGGGAUCUGUUACUCCCCCUAGACACCCAGGUAGAUUUGGUGUUUCUUGACAGCAUUUUGAGGCAGGAUAAAGAGCUCCAGGAACGAUUUCUUCGGUUUUUGGCUAUCAAAUGUGGGAGGGACCUGAAGACAACAGUGUGGAGAAUGCUUCAGAGUAUAUUCUCUAAUAACCUUGCCGUUAAUACAACCUGGACUGGUAUAGGGGAUAAAACAUGUUUUAGAGACCUGUUCCUGAAGACCAUUGUUCAAAG